This 1032-nucleotide long non-coding RNA is filed under the name Ananas comosus (pineapple). Its description in RNAcentral is "long non-coding RNA (ACOM_LNC026653)". Lineage: Eukaryota; Viridiplantae; Streptophyta; Magnoliopsida; Poales; Bromeliaceae. The record is from RNAcentral.
UGCCUAAUUGUGACAUUUGGGACUUUAGAAGCCUAGAGAGGCUUGGGGACUUAGAUUAUUUGGGAUUUUGGGUCAAUGUCAUAAAGAGGCAUUGGGCUCGGGCUAUAGUAAUCAUUGGUAUUAAUGUUUAAAUGAAACAGAGAACAAGAAUUGGGCUUGAUCAGUGUGAUGCUUAAGUGUCAUAAAGAGGCACUAAGCAAGUGAGUGUUGGGACAUCACUUAGAGACAUUGGGCUAGAUCCUUGGGAUGCUAGUGACCUUGCCAUGUUAGAGACAUGUGGAUAGAGUAUUUGAGACAGUGACCUUGCUUGUUUGCCAUUUGUGCUCAUUCGCACAUGCUUGUGUGGGUCGCUCCCCACAAGCCGGCACUCCGGAGUUAGCCUACGCGACUUAUGUUCGCUCGUGCGGUAUUGAGAAGCCUACGGGGUCGAGUGGGACAGACACAUUCCAAGAGUAGGGAUGUUGGGCUACCACAGGCACUUAGGCGGCACAAGCUGGACUACCUUGGGUAGGUCCCUAAUUGGAAAUGGAAACCGACACAGUGUUGAGUGUGUGACAAUCACUACUAGAUAGAGAGUAGUAGUUGGAUUACUUGGGUUUGCUUCUAGCAUAGUGUUGGACACAUGAGUAUGCAUAUAUACAUGUAGUAUGCUAGGAGAUGUUGCCAUUACAUUCAUAUAUAUAAUGUCGCCAUGUUAAAGUAUAACCAUCAUAGCUACAUAAGGUAAAUCUUGAAAGUACUCGCGAAUAUGUAGAGACAUACUAGUCAUGACAAGGUAAAAGUGCAUCAUAUAAAUGCCAGAUCCAAUUGCAAAGUUGUAAUUUAGCAAUUUUAUUUAUGCUUUCACAUUUGCAAUUUAUUUAUUGUUAUUACUAUCUUGGACUUACCCCUUUCUCUUUUGGGGCCUAGUGGUGCAUUGAGCUGAGGUCAGUAAUUGCCCACUGGGAACUAUAAAUUAUAGUUCUCACGCCCUCUGUUUUAUGUUUUCUUUCAGAGCCUUCCACGCCGGGAGAGGCUAGGGACCGCGGGAAG